AGUACCCUUUCAUCAAACUCUCCCUCAGGAUUCUUCCUCUCCUCUUCUUUCUCAGGUCUGCACAUCAUGUUUACAAAAAUAAAGAAAUCGAAAUCAGAUUACCAGAGAACUGGGGGGAUCAAGAGGUAGGGGGGUGGGCGGUGUGAGGACGUGCAACCUGGAUUGGGUACAGGGGACGACGGCCGGUGAGCAACAACCAUCAGUCAUGGCCGGCGACACUUCUCCACUCCACGACAACGCGAGCGACGCCUAGAGCUCCGGCAUCGCGGUCCUGCCUCCACCUCUGUUCUUCUCACCCUCCCAUGCUCCUGCACACCCAUCAUUAAAACCAAACACCGAAACCCUAACUGCGAAAUAUAAAUUAAUUUAAGGAGAUAGGAAUUAGGAGGAGGAGCUUACACAGGGGAGGAGUUCAAACCCCUUCUUUCUUGUAGAGAUCGAGCCGCCACUGACCGCGACGUCGGCCCUCCCCCGUCCGCCGCCACACCUUCCUCUCCUCUUUCUCUCAGAUCAAGCAGCCACCGACCACGAGGUCGACCCUCUCCCGUCCGCCGCCACACAUCCCUCUCCUCUUUCUCUCUCCUGCGCCGGUCGUCGGGGGAGA
RNAcentral lists this long non-coding RNA (604 nucleotides) under Triticum aestivum (bread wheat). Its description in RNAcentral is "long non-coding RNA (TAES_LNC002578)". Lineage: Eukaryota; Viridiplantae; Streptophyta; Magnoliopsida; Poales; Poaceae. The record is from RNAcentral.